This is a long non-coding RNA of Castor canadensis (American beaver), 377 nucleotides long. RefSeq lists it as uncharacterized. The record is from RefSeq and is a predicted model, not a curated record. Lineage: Eukaryota; Metazoa; Chordata; Mammalia; Rodentia; Castoridae.
UGGGGCAGAUGACAUGCUCUACUUCACAAGGCACGAGCAAGCUCACCUAGCCUAGCGUGUGAAAACAGAGAAACAUCAUGGUUAUCAGCAACGCAGGAGAAAGAGCACGAAGUGAGAGGGCAAGAGAUGACGCUGGAACCCUGGCUCUGUGCCUAACUAGCUGUGUAACCCUUCGCUGCACCCAGAAACUGGAAAUACAGAAGGAUCUGACUCUGGAAGCUAAUGAGAACCGACCCAGGCAAUUCGCUAAAAAAGGCAGUGAGAACUUGGGCAAGACCUUCCCUGCCAGCCUCAGUUUACCAGGUGAAAAUGGGGCUGUGCUGAGCACCUUGUCUGUUUGACCAGCAUUGUGGACAGGUGCUGUGAGCACUGCGGGC